Long non-coding RNA from Pistacia vera, 533 nucleotides. RefSeq lists it as uncharacterized. NCBI's taxonomy places the organism in Eukaryota, Viridiplantae, Streptophyta, Magnoliopsida, Sapindales, Anacardiaceae. The transcript has 4 exons. The record is from RefSeq and is a predicted model, not a curated record.
GGCGCUGGAGAAAGAAGAUAGGGUUUAGGAAGUAGUAUAAUUUAUAUUGGAUAGAGUAAAUUACUAUAACCCCCUAAUACUUAAAAAAAUAGUACUUAUACCCUUUUGAGCCAUUCACGAACCUAUCAAGCCUAGUAGUGGGUGGUUCAUAACUCGGCUCGAGAGAGUACUCGAGCCGCUCGAGCUCAAGCUCGGCUCGACAAAAGUCGAGCCGAACCUAGCUUGCUUACAGCCCUAGGUAUAACUUAUAGAGAGUGGGCAUCGGGAGCUAAGUCAGCAGCUUUGAUUGGAGACUUCAAUAACGGGAAUCCCAAUGCAGAUAUCAUGACCCGGAAUGAGUUUGGGAUCUGGGAGAUCUUUUUGCCUAACAAUGCUGAUGGUUCACCAUCAAUUCCCCAUGGUUCUCGUGUGAAGAUUUGAAUGGAGACACCAUCUGUCAUUAAAGAUUCCAUACCUGCUUGGAUGAAGUUCUCUGUACAAGCUCCAGGUGAAAUCCUAUACAAUGGUAUAUACUAUGAUCCACCAGCAGAGGU